RNAcentral lists this transfer RNA (69 nucleotides) under Ovis aries (sheep). It matches the Rfam family "tRNA". Rfam says of the family: Transfer RNA (tRNA) molecules are approximately 80 nucleotides in length. The record is from Rfam by way of RNAcentral. Lineage: Eukaryota; Metazoa; Chordata; Mammalia; Artiodactyla; Bovidae.
CCUGGUGGCUCAGAGAGUAAAGCAUCUGCCUACAGUGCAGGAGGCCUGGGUUCAAUUCCUGGGUCAGGA